AAAAAAUUUGGAAGGACAAAAACACCGGUGUGAAUCUAAGGAAUGGGAAGAUUUGAAUGGGAAGUUUGGUAUUUUUUUUUUGAGGAAAACGAUGGAAAUUUGGCUCGAUUUUAGGCUCUAAUGCCAAAUUGAUGUAGAACAAACAAAAAAGAAUAAAGAAUUAGGAGAAAUCAAGGAUCAGUUCUUGAAGAGAGAACUAAUUCUCAACAAUUUUCUUAAUUUCAAU
This 226-nucleotide unclassified non-coding RNA is filed under the name Hevea brasiliensis (rubber tree). The record is from RNAcentral. Lineage: Eukaryota; Viridiplantae; Streptophyta; Magnoliopsida; Malpighiales; Euphorbiaceae.